UGCUUUUGUUCUUAAACUGAUAGGUUUUACUUUUAUUGCAGCAAUAACAGUGCUUAGCCCAUUUGCAAAACUAAGCAGGGCCCGGUGUGGUUUCAAAUUGGAUGGGGGACCGCCUGUUGAAAUACCUACAUUGCUUAAAAACUACUCUUUAGCCGUUAUAGGUCCAGAGUUUUACAGUUCUGUCUGCAGAAGAUGACAAGAAGGAAAGAUCUUGUGUAUGCCAUCUGCACUGAAUCACUUUGUCUUUAUGCUCCCCUACCACCAUCGUUGGGAGCUGCUUGAACCCGUGAGAAGGUAAUGAGCCCCAGGGGAAAAGCGGACAGAACGGACAUCACUGGAAUGAGGAUGGUAACUCUGCACCAUUCGCCCUCCACGAAUAUCAUACAGCAUGCAGCUGGAAUCCUCCUGGCCUGUAGCUAGAAGACGACCACUAGGAUCUACAGCUACUGAUGCCACAGCACUGCCUGCAGGGAGAAAUCCCAUAAAUGAAAUCAGUACCAUUUCUCUAGAUAAGAACUCGCUAUUUUCCAAGCAGCAACUCUACUGGCCAACCAUGGCAAG
Non-coding RNA from Podarcis muralis (Common wall lizard), 561 nucleotides. Lineage: Eukaryota; Metazoa; Chordata; Lepidosauria; Squamata; Lacertidae. The record is from RefSeq and is a predicted model, not a curated record.